UGGGGAAUAUUGGACAAUGGGCGAAAGCCUGAUCCAGCCAUGCCGCGUGUGUGAAGAAGGUCUUCGGAUUGUAAAGCACUUUAAGUUGGGAGGAAGGGCAUUAACCAAUACGUUAGUGUUUUGACGUUACCGACAGAAUAAGCACCGGCUAACUCUGUGCCAGCAGCCGCGGUAAUACAGAGGGUGCAAGCGUUAAUCGGAAUUACUGGGCGUAAAGCGCGCGUAGGUGGUUUGUUAAGUUGGAUGUGAAAGCCCCGGGCUCAACCUGGGAACUGCAUCCAAAACUGGCAAGCUAGAGUACGGUAGAGGGUGGUGGAAUUUCCUGUGUAGCGGUGAAAUGCGUAGAUAUAGGAAGGAACACCAGUGGCGAAGGCGACCACCUGGACUGAUACUGACACUGAGGUGCGAAAGCGUGGGGAGCAAACA
RNAcentral lists this ribosomal RNA (426 nucleotides) under uncultured bacterium. Its description in RNAcentral is "partial 16S ribosomal RNA". It matches the Rfam family "Bacterial small subunit ribosomal RNA", at positions 355 to 774 of the family's 1533-position model. The record is from RNAcentral.